RNAcentral lists this ribosomal RNA (680 nucleotides) under Alteromonas macleodii. RNAcentral describes it as "bacterial SSU rRNA". It matches the Rfam family "Bacterial small subunit ribosomal RNA", at positions 71 to 751 of the family's 1533-position model. The record is from RNAcentral. Lineage: Bacteria; Pseudomonadati; Pseudomonadota; Gammaproteobacteria; Alteromonadales; Alteromonadaceae.
AUUUCUAGCUUGCUAGAAGAUGACGAGUGGCGGACGGGUGAGUAAUGCUUGGGAACUUGCCUUUGCGAGGGGGAUAACAGUUGGAAACGACUGCUAAUACCGCAUAAUGUCUUCGGACCAAACGGGGCUUAGGCUCCGGCGCAAAGAGAGGCCCAAGUGAGAUUAGCUAGUUGGUAAGGUAACGGCUUACCAAGGCGACGAUCUCUAGCUGUUCUGAGAGGAAGAUCAGCCACACUGGGACUGAGACACGGCCCAGACUCCUACGGGAGGCAGCAGUGGGGAAUAUUGCACAAUGGGGGAAACCCUGAUGCAGCCAUGCCGCGUGUGUGAAGAAGGCCUUCGGGUUGUAAAGCACUUUCAGUUGUGAGGAAAAGUUAGUAGUUAAUACCUGCUAGCCGUGACGUUAACAACAGAAGAAGCACCGGCUAACUCCGUGCCAGCAGCCGCGGUAAUACGGAGGGUGCGAGCGUUAAUCGGAAUUACUGGGCGUAAAGCGCACGCAGGCGGUUUGUUAAGCUAGAUGUGAAAGCCCCGGGCUCAACCUGGGAUGGUCAUUUAGAACUGGCAGACUAGAGUCUUGGAGAGGGGAGUGGAAUUCCAGGUGUAGCGGUGAAAUGCGUAGAUAUCUGGAGGAACAUCAGUGGCGAAGGCGACUCCCUGGCCAAAGACUGACGCUCAUG